UACGGAGGGUGCAAGCGUUGUCCGGAUUUAUUGGGUUUAAAGGGUGCGUAGGUGGUAGAUUAAGUCUGCUGUCAAAGACCGGGGCUUAACCUCGGAAAGGCAGUGGAAACUGAACAGCUAGAGUAUGGUAGGGGCAAAGGGAAUUCCUGGUGUAGCGGUGAAAUGCGCAGAGAUCAGGAAGAACAUCGGUGGCGAAGGCGCUUUGCUGGACCAUAACUGACACUCAGGGACGAAAGCUAGGGGAGCGAAUGGG
RNAcentral lists this ribosomal RNA (253 nucleotides) under uncultured bacterium. RNAcentral describes it as "partial 16S ribosomal RNA". It matches the Rfam family "Bacterial small subunit ribosomal RNA", at positions 524 to 776 of the family's 1533-position model. The record is from RNAcentral.